AAAGGUGACCACAAAACAUCUAACUGCAUGACAUCUACCCACCCCAUUGAUCAUGCCUGGUGAUUCUGCAGAUCUGCCUACUUCAAUGCAUAUCCUUUUUCUCCCUCACCCCUCUGUGUAUAACCCUCCUUAAGCUGCAUGUGAUGUUGAAGGAUAACUUUCUCCAGUAGAGGAGGGCUGGUCUUUAGUUAAAGAUACAUGAGUAGCUGCAUUCCCUGAUAGAACCUACAAAAAAGCACAUAUUAAAAGUAUACAAAGAUGAAAGAUUU
Molecule: small nuclear RNA, 269 nt
Filed under: Mesocricetus auratus (golden hamster)
Lineage: Eukaryota; Metazoa; Chordata; Mammalia; Rodentia; Cricetidae
Description: 7SK RNA (ENSMAUG00000004007.1)
Rfam family: 7SK RNA
About the family: 7SK was discovered as an abundant small nuclear RNA in the mid-70s but a possible function has only recently been suggested. Two independent studies have found that 7SK RNA binds the CDK9/cyclin T complex (known as elongation factor P-TEFb).
Source: RNAcentral